CCUACGGGAGACAGCAGUGGGGAAUAUUGGGCAAUGGGCGCAAGCCUGACCCAGCAACGCCGCGUGAAGGAAGAAGGCUUUCGGGUUGUAAACUUCUUUUGUCAGGGAAGAGUAGAAGACGGUACCUGACGAAUAAGCCACGGCUAACGACGUCCCAGCAGCCGCGGUAAUACGUAGGUGGCAAGCGUUGUCCGGAUUUACUGGGUGUAAAGGGCGUGUAGCCGGGUUGACAAGUCAGAUGUGAAAUCCUGCGGCUUAACCGCAGAACUGCAUUUGACACUGUUGAUCUUGAGUACUGGAGUGGCAGACGGAAUUCCUAGUGUAGCGGUGACAUGCGCAGAUAGUAGGAGGAACACCAGUGGCGAAGGCGGUCUGCUGGACAGCAACUGACGGUGAGGCGCGAAAGCGUGGGGAGCAAACAGGAUUAGAUACCCUUGUAGUC
RNAcentral lists this ribosomal RNA (442 nucleotides) under uncultured bacterium. RNAcentral describes it as "partial 16S ribosomal RNA". It matches the Rfam family "Bacterial small subunit ribosomal RNA", at positions 338 to 795 of the family's 1533-position model. The record is from RNAcentral.